This 285-nucleotide unclassified non-coding RNA is filed under the name Bombus terrestris (buff-tailed bumblebee). RNAcentral describes it as "misc RNA ENSBTSG00005026138.1". Lineage: Eukaryota; Metazoa; Arthropoda; Insecta; Hymenoptera; Apidae. The record is from RNAcentral.
CUUCGCUGUUACGCUAGAUCCUUCGCACUUCUCUGUUCGAAACGGAAUGAAUCUUUUCUUUCUUUUGGCGCCCCUCAAUAUCCCCACUAUCCUCGCGUUUGUUAGGCGUCCGCGACCGUUGCCACGCGCACCUUCUUCUAGAACAUUCGGCGGAAAGACCGUUGGGAUAUCGAUGGCUCAUUAGGCACUUCGGCGAUGUACAUUGUCGGCGAGUGCCCCACAUCUUUAUCUUCAUUAUCAGUCCAUCGGAUUUGAAGGGUGCCGGUCGUGACACUAGCGUUGUCG